Molecule: long non-coding RNA, 567 nt
Organism: Uranotaenia lowii
Lineage: Eukaryota; Metazoa; Arthropoda; Insecta; Diptera; Culicidae
Exons: 3
Source: RefSeq, a predicted model, not a curated record
AAAAAAGAAAAAAAAUCAUUAAAUUCUUUCUUGCGCCCCGAACAAAACCCUUGAUUGAUUUCCCGCUCGUUCGGGGUUCAAAAACCUGGGCUUCGGAAGUUUUACAUCAGAUUUGAUUCAGCUAAAUCAAUCUUGUGCAGACCAUGGACACCGACGGCAGUGGAGUUGGUUCGUCGAAACAGGACAACCAACAAAUAGAGGGAAAUAGUUUAAUCCUUAUUUAUGCGGGUCAUUCCAUUAAUCCCCCUUGCUGGACAGUCAUCGGUAGCAUGCAGAUUGAAUGAGUGAAUCGGGCUUUGAAGCGAUGCCUUCAUCAGAGGCAGCCUCACCAGCGGGACGAUAUUUCGAAGAUGUCCCAGAAGACAUCAGAUACAUUCAAGAUAUCGCGACCCAACAGAAACCGGCCUUUGCGUUUCUGGUUCCGCACUUCCGCAGGUCGUAGGCAAUCGUUAUGAAAAUUCCGCUUCUGCCAGCAGAACAGCCCUACAGGAGAGCGGGAAGCGGAAAGCAUUAAGGAAAAGACACAGUGUAUAUUGUGAAACCAUUAAUUAAAAAUAAAUUUUGGAU